GACGAACGCUGGCGGCGUGGAUUAGGCAUGCAAGUCGAACGGUAUAAACCUUUCGGGGUUUAGAGAGUGGCGAACGGGUGAGUAACACGUAGGUAAUCUACCCUCAAAACGGGGACAACCCAGGGAAACUUGGGCUAAUACCGGAUGCGUGCAAGCAAUGUUUUGGCUGUUAAUGCUAUUCACGGAAGUGAGUAGUGUUAAUGGUUGAGAGCAUUAUUUGCAUAAAAGGUGGCAUAUGCUGCCGUUUGAGGAUGAGCCUGCGUCCUAUUAGUUAGUUGGUGAGGUAAUGGCUUACCAAGGCGAUGAUAGGUAGGCGGCCUUAACGGGUGGUCGCCCACACUGGGAUUGAGAGACGGCCCAGACUCCUACGGGAGGCAGCAGUCGAGAAUAGUCUACAAUGGACGGAAGUCUGAUAGUGCGACGCCGCGUGAACGAGAAUCCCUUCGGGGUGUAAAGUUCUUUUAUACGUGAGCAGUGCCCUUUAUAUGAAUAGUAUAGAGGGAGGAUUU
This 509-nucleotide ribosomal RNA is filed under the name uncultured bacterium. Its description in RNAcentral is "bacterial SSU rRNA". It matches the Rfam family "Bacterial small subunit ribosomal RNA", at positions 28 to 481 of the family's 1533-position model. The record is from RNAcentral.